AUUGAACGCUGGCGGCAGGCCUAACACAUGCAAGUCGAGCGGAUGAAGGGAGCUUGCUCCUGGAUUCAGCGGCGGACGGGUGAGUAAUGCCUAGGAAUCUGCCUGGUAGUGGGGGAUAACGUCCGGAAACGGGCGCUAAUACCGCAUACGUCCUGAGGGAGAAAGUGGGGGAUCUUCGGACCUCACGCUAUCAGAUGAGCCUAGGUCGGAUUAGCUAGUUGGUGGGGUAAAGGCCUACCAAGGCGACGAUCCGUAACUGGUCUGAGAGGAUGAUCAGUCACACUGGAACUGAGACACGGUCCAGACUCCUACGGGAGGCAGCAGUGGGGAAUAUUGGACAAUGGGCGAAAGCCUGAUCCAGCCAUGCCGCGUGUGUGAAGAAGGUCUUCGGAUUGUAAAGCACUUUACGUUGGGAGGAAGGGCGGUAAGUUAAUACCUUGCUGUUUUGACGUUACCAACAGAAUAAGCACCGGCUAACUUCGUG
Molecule: ribosomal RNA, 484 nt
Filed under: uncultured bacterium
Lineage: Bacteria
Description: partial 16S ribosomal RNA
Rfam family: Bacterial small subunit ribosomal RNA
Source: RNAcentral